UGGGGAAUAUUGGGCAAUGGGCGAAAGCCUGACCCAGCAACGCCGCGUGAAGGAAGAAGGCUUUCGGGUUGUAAACUUCUUUUACCAGGGACGAAGGACGUGACGGUACCUGGAGAAAAAGCUCCGGCUAACUACGUGCCAGCAGCCGCGGUAAUACGUAGGGAGCAAGCGUUGUCCGGAUUUACUGGGUGUAAAGGGCGUGUAGGCGGAGACGCAAGUCAGGAGUGAAAUCCCCGGGCUCAACCCGGGAACUGCUUUUGAAACUGCGUCCCUUGAGUAUCGGAGAGGCAGGCGGAAUUCCUAGUGUAGCGGUGAAAUGCGUAGAUAUUAGGAGGAACACCAGUGGCGAAGGCGGCCUGCUGGACGACAACUGACGCUGAGGCGCGAAAGCGUGGGGAGC
Molecule: ribosomal RNA, 400 nt
Filed under: uncultured bacterium
Lineage: Bacteria
Description: bacterial SSU rRNA
Rfam family: Bacterial small subunit ribosomal RNA
Source: RNAcentral